AACUCAAAGGAAUUGACGGGGGCCCGCACAAGCGGUGGAUUAUGUGGUUUAAUUCGAUGAUACGCGAGGAACCUUACCAAGGCUUAAAUGGGAAUUGAUCGGUUUAGAAAUAGACCUUCCUUCGGGCAAUUUUCAAGGUGCUGCAUGGUUGUCGUCAGCUCGUGCCGUGAGGUGUUAGGUUAAGUCCUGCAACGAGCGCAACCCCUGUCACUAGUUGCCAUCAUUCAGUUGGGGACUCUAGUGAGACUGCCUACGCAAGUAGAGAGGAAGGUGGGGAUGACGUCAAAUCAUCACGGCCCUUACGCCUUGGGCCACACACGUAAUACAAUGGCCGGUACAGAGGGCAGCUACACAGCGAUGUGAUGCAAAUCUCGAAAGCCGGUCUCAGUUCGGAUUGGAGUCUGCAACUCGACUCUAUGAAGCUGGAAUCGCUAGUAAUCGCGCAUCAGCCAUGGCGCGGUGAAUACGUUCCCGGGCCUUGUGCACACCGCCCGUCAAGCCGUGGAAGUCUGGGGUACCUGAAGUCGGUGACCGUAAAAGGAGCUGCCUAGGGUAAAACAGGUAUCUAGGGCUAAGUCGUAACAAGGUAG
This 590-nucleotide ribosomal RNA is filed under the name uncultured bacterium. Its description in RNAcentral is "bacterial SSU rRNA". It matches the Rfam family "Bacterial small subunit ribosomal RNA", at positions 898 to 1499 of the family's 1533-position model. The record is from RNAcentral.